UACGGAGGGGGCUAGCGUUGUUCGGAAUUACUGGGCGUAAAGCGCACGUAGGCGGCUUUGUAAGUCAGAGGUGAAAUCCCGGGGCUCAACUCCGGAACUGCCUUUGAGACUGGAUCGCUUGAAUCCAGGAGAGGUGAGUGGAAUUCCGAGUGUAGAGGUGAAAUUCGUAGAUAUUCGGAAGAACACCAGUGGCGAAGGCGGCUCACUGGACUGGUAUUGACGCUGAGGUGCGAAAGCGUGGGGAGCAAACAGG
This 253-nucleotide ribosomal RNA is filed under the name uncultured bacterium. RNAcentral describes it as "partial 16S ribosomal RNA". It matches the Rfam family "Bacterial small subunit ribosomal RNA", at positions 524 to 776 of the family's 1533-position model. The record is from RNAcentral.